This 509-nucleotide ribosomal RNA is filed under the name uncultured eukaryote. Its description in RNAcentral is "SSU rRNA". It matches the Rfam family "Eukaryotic small subunit ribosomal RNA", at positions 619 to 1129 of the family's 1831-position model. The record is from RNAcentral.
UUAAAAAGCUCGUAGUUGGAUCUCGGCGAACAGGGGGCGGUUCGUUAUUUGACGGUACUGCCCCAUUUGUUCGUAUUUUUGCAGAGGAUUGGGGGUCCCCUUUGUUGGGUGUCUCCGGUCGCUUGCAGGUUUACUUUGAAAAAAUUAGAGUUGCUCAAAGCAGGCUUACACGCUUGAAUAUUCGUGCAUGGAAUAAUAGAAUAGGAAGUCGUUUCUAUUUUGUUGGUUUUCGGAAAAUGACUUAAUGAUUAAUAGGGACAAUCGGGGGCAUUAGUAUUCAAACGACAGAGGUGAAAUUCUUGGACCGUUUGAAGACUAACUACUGCGAAAGCAUUUGCCAAGAGUGUUUUCAUUAAUCAAGAACGAAAGUUAGAGGUUCGAAGGCGAUCAGAUACCGCCCUAGUUCUAACCAUAAACGAUGCCAGCUUGCGAUCUGCGGGUGUGUAAAAACAAGACCCCGCAGGGAGCUUCCGGGAAACCAAAGCUUGUGGGUCCGGGGGAAGUAUGGU